Molecule: ribosomal RNA, 208 nt
Filed under: uncultured bacterium
Lineage: Bacteria
Description: partial 16S ribosomal RNA
Rfam family: Bacterial small subunit ribosomal RNA
Source: RNAcentral
CGGGCAGGUGGUCUGUUAAGUCGUUUGUGAAAACCCGGGGCUCAACCCCGCGGAAUGCAGACGAUACUGGCAGACUGGAGAUCGGUAGAGGCUAGCGGAAUUCCAGGUGUAGCGGUGGAAUGCGUAGAUAUCUGGAAGAACACCUGUGGCGAAGGCGGCUAGCUGGGCCGAGUCUGACACUCAUCCGCAAAAGCGUGGGGAGCAAACA